RNAcentral lists this unclassified non-coding RNA (377 nucleotides) under uncultured bacterium. RNAcentral describes it as "contains 16S-23S intergenic spacer region". The record is from RNAcentral.
UCCGGCUUAUCACCGGCAGUCCCUUUAGAGUGCCCAACUGAAUGAUGGCAACUAAAGGCGAGGGUUGUGCUCGUUGAUGGACUUAACCAAACAUCUCACGACACGAGCUGACGACGGCCAUGCAUCACCUGUCACUUGGUUCCCGAGGGCACAUUCUCCUUUCGGAGAGCUUCCAAGGAUGUCAAGCCUGGGUAAGGUUCUUCGCUUACCAUCGAAUUAAACAACACGCUCCACCGCUUGUGCGGGUCCCCGUCAAUUCCUUUAUGUUUUAGUCUUGCGACCGUACUCCACAGGCGGGAUGCUUAACGCGUUAGCUUCGCUACUAGAAGGGUCGAUACUCCUAACAGCUAGCAUCCAUCGUUUACGGCAUGGACUAC